GUAGCUCAGUUGGUAGAGCACCUGACUUUUAAUCAGGGUGUCCCGGGUUCGAGUCCCAGCGACUCCA
RNAcentral lists this transfer RNA (67 nucleotides) under Candidatus Megaera endosymbiont of Hartmannula sinica. Its description in RNAcentral is "tRNA-Lys". It matches the Rfam family "tRNA". From Rfam's summary of the family: Transfer RNA (tRNA) molecules are approximately 80 nucleotides in length. Their secondary structure includes four short double-helical elements and three loops (D, anti-codon, and T loops). Lineage: Bacteria; Pseudomonadati; Pseudomonadota; Alphaproteobacteria; Rickettsiales; Rickettsiaceae. The record is from RNAcentral.